CCUACGGGUGGCUGCAGUGGGGAAUAUUGGGCAAUGGGCGCAAGCCUGACCCAGCAACGCCGCGUGAAGGAAGAAGGCUUUCGGGUUGUAAACUUCUUUUCUCAGGGACGAAGCAAGUGACGGUAGCGGAGGAAUAAGCCACGGCUAACUCCGGGCCAGCAGCCGCGGGAAUACGUAGGUGGCAAGCGGUAGCCGGAUUUACUGGGUGUAAAGGGCGUGUAGGGGGGGACGGAAGUCAGAUGUGAAAACCCUGGGCUCAACCUGUGGCCUGCAUUUGAAACUGUGUUUCUUGAGUACUGGAGAGGCAGACGGAAUUCCUAGUGUAGCGGUGAAAUGCGUAGAUAUUAGGAGGAACACCAGUGGCGACGGCGGUCUGCUGGACAGCACCUGACGCUGAGGCGCGAACGCGUGGGGAGCAAACAGGAUUAGAUACCCGAGUAGUC
This 443-nucleotide ribosomal RNA is filed under the name uncultured bacterium. RNAcentral describes it as "partial 16S ribosomal RNA". It matches the Rfam family "Bacterial small subunit ribosomal RNA", at positions 338 to 795 of the family's 1533-position model. The record is from RNAcentral.